UCCUACGGGACGCAGCAGUGGGGAAUAUUGGGCAAUGGGCGCAAGCCUGACCCAGCAACGCCGCGUGAAGGAAGAAGGCUUUCGGGUUGUAAACUUCUUUUUAGAGGGAAGAGUAGAAGACGGUACCUCUUGAAUAAGCCACGGCUAACUACGUGCCAGCAGCCGCGGUAAUACGUAGGUGGCAAGCGUUGUCCGGAUUUACUGGGUGUAAAGGGCGUGUAGCCGGGCCGGCAAGCCAGAUGUGA
Molecule: ribosomal RNA, 245 nt
Filed under: uncultured bacterium
Lineage: Bacteria
Description: partial 16S ribosomal RNA
Rfam family: Bacterial small subunit ribosomal RNA
Source: RNAcentral